UCAAGCGCGAAAAGGGCGUUUGGUGAAUGCCUUGGCAGUAAGAGGCGAUGAAAGACGUGAUACUCUGCGAUAAGCCAUGGGGAGCUGAGAAUAAGCUUUGAUCCAUGGAUUUCUGAAUGGGGCAACCCACCUGAUACUAUGUUAUUGUUACCCGCUUCGGCGGCGAUCAAUAAUGUGGUAAAACAGGUAUUUCUAGACUGAAUACAUAGGUUUAGAAAAGCAAACCCGGGGAACUGAAACAUCUAAGUACCCGGAGGAAAGGAAAUCAAUUGAUACUCCCCUAGUAGCGGCGAGCGAACGGGGACCAGCCGAGCCAUGAGUGUGGUUAGAAUGCGUUGGAAUGCGCAACCAAAGUGGGUGAUAGUCCCGUAUAAGAAGCAUGAUUGGACGUAUUAAGUAGGGCGGAACACGUGAAAUUCUGUCUGAAGAUCGGAGGACCACCUUCGAAGGCUAAGUACUCCUUACUGACCGAUAGUGAACCAGUACCGUGAGGGAAAGGUGAAAAGCACCCCGACGAGGGGAGUGAAACAGUACCUGAAACCGAACGCCUACAAUCAGUUGGAGGGGCUUUACGCCCUGACAGCGUACCUUUUGUAUAAUGGGUCAUCGACUUGGUCUCACAAGCAAGCUUAAGCCGUUAGGUGUAGGCGUAGCGAAAGCGAGUCUUAAUAGGGCGUUGAGUUUGUGGGAUCAGACCCGAAACCGAGUGAUCUAGGCAUGGCCAGGUUGAAGGUAAGGUAACACUUACUGGAGGACCGAACCCACAUCCGUUGAAAAGGAUCGGGAUGAGCUGUGCCUAGGGGUGAAAGGCCAAUCAAACUCGGAGAUAGCUGGUUCUCUGCGAAAUCUAUUUAGGUAGAGCGUCAUCCGAAUACCCUCGGGGGUAGAGCACUGGAUGGGUAAUGGGGCCCCACAGGCUUACUGAUCCUAACCAAACUCCGAAUACCGAGGAGUACUAGAUGGCAGACACACGGCGAAUGCUAACGUCCGUCGUGAAGAGGGAAACAACCCUGACCUACAGCUAAGGCCCCUAAUUCAUGGCUAAGUGGGAAAGCAGGUGGGACGACCAAAACAACCAGGAGGUUGGCUUAGAAGCAGCCAUCCUUUAAAGAUAGCGUAACAGCUCACUGGUCUAAAUAAGUUGUCCUGCGGCGAAGAUGUAACGGGGCUCAAGCCAUGAGCCGAAGCUGAGGAUGCAUUUAUUGCAUGGUAGCAGAGCGUAGUGUGACAUAAUUCCAUGUCUCCUUCACAGUUUUCGGACUGUAUUGGAGACGCGGAGUUUUCUGUGAAGCUGGCGCGUGAGCGAUCCGGUGGAGAGAUCACUAGUGAGAAUGAUGACAUGAGUAGCGACAAAGAGUGUGAGAGACACUCUCGCCGAAAGUCCAAGGGUUCCUGCUUAAAGCUAAUCUGAGCAGGGUAAGCCGACCCCUAAGGCGAGGCCGAAAGGCGUAGUCGAUGGGAACCAGGUUAAUAUUCCUGGGCCAGAUGGAAGUGACGGAUCUCGAGGGUAGUUCAUCCUUAUCGGAUUGAAUGGGCUGCUUAGAGGUCCCUGGAAAUAGCUCCAUCGCUAGAUCGUACCCUAAACCGACACAGGUGGACAGGUAGAGAAUACCAAGGCGCUUGAGAGAACUAUGUUGAAGGAACUCGGCAAAAUACCUCCGUAAGUUCGCGAGAAGGAGGCCCGGUUUCUAGGCAACUAGAGGCUGGGGGCACAAACCAGGGGGUGGCGACUGUUUAUUAAAAACACAGGGCUCUGCGAAGUCGCAAGACGACGUAUAGGGUCUGACGCCUGCCCGGUGCCGGAAGGUUAAGAGGAGAUGUGCAAGCAUUGAAUUGAAGCCCCGGUAAACGGCGGCCGUAACUAUAACGGUCCUAAGGUAGCGAAAUUCCUUGUCGGGUAAGUUCCGACCUGCACGAAUGGCGUAACGACUUCCCCGCUGUCUCCAACAUAGACUCAGCGAAAUUGAAUUACCGGUCAAGAUGCCGGUUACCCGCGGUUAGACGGAAAGACCCCGUGCACCUUUACUACAACUUCACACUGGCAUUAGGCCGAACAUGUGCAGGAUAGGUGGUGGGCUUUGAAGCGUGGACGCCAGUCUGCGUGGAGCCUCCCUUGAGAUACCACCCUUGUUCUGCUUGAUGUCUAACCGCGGUCCGUUAUCCGGAUCCGGGACCCUGUGUGGUGGGUAGUUUGACUGGGGCGGUCGCCUCCUAAAUCGUAACGGAGGCGCGCGAAGGUUGGCUCAGAGCGGUCGGAAAUCGCUCGUUGAGUGCAAUGGCAGAAGCCAGCCUGACUGCAAGACUGACAAGUCGAGCAGAGUCGAAAGACGGCCAUAGUGAUCCGGUGGUCCCAAGUGGGAGGGCCAUCGCUCAACGGAUAAAAGGUACGCCGGGGAUAACAGGCUGAUACUGCCCAAGAGUCCAUAUCGACGGCAGUGUUUGGCACCUCGAUGUCGGCUCAUCUCAUCCUGGGGCUGGAGCAGGUCCCAAGGGUACGGCUGUUCGCCGUUUAAAGAGGUACGUGAGCUGGGUUUAGAACGUCGUGAGACAGUUCGGUCCCUAUCUUCCGUGGGUGUAGGAUACUUGAGAGGAGUUGCCCCUAGUACGAGAGGACCGGGGUGAACGAUCCACUGGUGGACCAGUUGUUAUGCCAAUAGCAGUGCUGGGUAGCUAUGAUCGGACAGGAUAACCGCUGAAGGCAUCUAAGCGGGAAGCCCCCCUCAAAACAAGGUAUCCCUGAGAGCCGAGGUAGACCACCUCGUCGAUAGGCCAGAGAUGUAAGCGUAGUAAUACGUUCAGUUGACUGGUACUAAUGGCUCGAUAGGCUUGAUUUG
This 2834-nucleotide ribosomal RNA is filed under the name seawater metagenome. RNAcentral describes it as "bacterial LSU rRNA". It matches the Rfam family "Bacterial large subunit ribosomal RNA". The record is from RNAcentral.